Molecule: ribosomal RNA, 464 nt
Filed under: uncultured Desulfobulbus sp.
Lineage: Bacteria; Pseudomonadati; Thermodesulfobacteriota; Desulfobulbia; Desulfobulbales; Desulfobulbaceae
Description: bacterial SSU rRNA
Rfam family: Bacterial small subunit ribosomal RNA
Source: RNAcentral
ACAAGCGGUGGAGUAUGUGGUUUAAUUCGAUGCAACGCGAAGAACCUUACCUGGUCUUGACAUCCCGGAGACCCUUAGGAAACUAGGGGGUGCUUCCAUCUGGAAGAAAUCUGGAGACAGGUGCUGCAUGGCUGUCGUCAGCUCGUGUCGUGAGAUGUUGGGUUAAGUCCCGCAACGAGCGCAACCCUUGCCUUUAGUUGCCAGCAGUUCGGCUGGGCACUCUAAAGGGACUGCCGGUGUUAAACCGGAGGAAGGUGGGGAUGACGUCAAGUCCUCAUGGCCUUUAUGACCAGGGCUACACACGUACUACAAUGGCCGAUACAAAGGGCAGCGACACUGCGAGGUGAAGCCAAUCCCGUAAAAUCGGUCUCAGUCCGGAUUGGAGUCUGCAACUCGACUCCAUGAAGUUGGAAUCGCUAGUAAUCGUGGAUCAGCAUGCCACGGUGAAUACGUUCCCGGGCCUU